Molecule: long non-coding RNA, 1352 nt
Organism: Dermacentor silvarum
Lineage: Eukaryota; Metazoa; Arthropoda; Arachnida; Ixodida; Ixodidae
Exons: 4
Source: RefSeq, a predicted model, not a curated record
GCUCUCUGCAGCAACGCGCUUACGCGGUUUCGGUUGCGCCGCGUGAUCGCAACGGAGGCGCGCCAAACGUGAGUUUUCUCUCUGUCGGCACUCUUUUGCAGGGGCGGCGGAAGUUGAUUUCUAUCUUGAUUGGCGCUGUCUUAGCUUGUUUAUCAGCGCCGCUCACGAGGUAUUCUCGCUCUCUGCGGCAACGCGCUUACGCGGUUUCGGUUGCGCCGCGUGAUCGCAACGGAGGCGCGCCAAACGUGAGUUUUCUCUCUGUCGGCACUCUCUUGCAGGGGCGGUGGAAGUUGAUUUCUAUCUUGAUUGGCGCUGUCUUAGCUUGUUUAUCAGCGCCGCUCACGAGGUAUUCUCGCUCUCUGCGGCAACGCGCUUACACGGUUUCGGUUGCGCCGCGUGAUCGCAACGGAGGCGCGCCAAACGUGAGUUUUCUCUCUGUCGGCACUCUCUUGCAGGGGCGGCGGAAGUUGAUUUCUAUCUUGAUUGGCGCUGUCUUAGCUUGUUUAUCAGCGCCGCUCACGAGGUAUUCUCGCUCUCUGCGGCAACGCGCUUACGCGGUUUCGGUUGCGCCACGUGAUCGCAACGGAGGCGCGCCAAACGUGAGUUUUCUCUCUGUCGGCACUCUCUUGCAGAUGUGGCGGAAGCUGAUUUCUACCUUGAUUGGCGCUGUCUUAGCUUGUUUAUCAGCGCCGCUCACGAGGUAUUCUCGCUCUCUGCGGCAACGCGCUUACACGGUUUCGGUUGCGCCGCGUGAUCGCAACGGAGGCGCGCCAAACGUGAGUUUUCUCUCUGUCGGCACUCUCUUGCAGGGGCGGCGGAAGUUGAUUUCUAUCUUGAUUGGCGCUGUCUUAGCUUGUUUAUCAGCGCCGCUCACGAGGUAUUCUCGCUCUCUGCGGCAACGCGCUUACGCGGUUUCGGUGGCGCCGCGUGAUCGCAACGGAGGCGCGCCAAACGUGAGUUUUCUCUCUAUCGGCACUCUUUUGCAGGGGCGGCGGAAGUUGAUUUCUAUCUUGAUUGGCGCUGUCUUAGCUUGUUUAUCAGCGCCGCUCACGAGGUAUUCUCGCUCUCUGCGGCAACGCGCUUACGCAGUUUCGGUUGCGCCGCGUGAUCGCAACGGAGGCGCGCCAAACGUGAGUUUUCUCUCUGUCGGCACUCUCUUGCAGGGGCGGCGGAAGUUGAUUUCUAUCUUGAUUGGCGCUGUCUUAGCUUGUUUAUCAGCGCCGCUCACGAGGUAUUCUCGCUCUCUGCGGCAACGCACUUACGCGGUUUCGGUUCCGCCGAAUGAUCGCAACGGAAGCGCGCGAAACGUGAGUUUUCUCUUUGUCGGCACUCUCUUGCAGAUGCGGCGGAAG